RNAcentral lists this ribosomal RNA (468 nucleotides) under uncultured bacterium. RNAcentral's name for it is "partial 16S ribosomal RNA". It matches the Rfam family "Bacterial small subunit ribosomal RNA", at positions 28 to 507 of the family's 1533-position model. The record is from RNAcentral.
GACGAACGCUGGCGGCGUGCUUAACACAUGCAAGUCGAACGGAAAGGCCCUGCUUUUGUGGGGUGCUCGAGUGGAGAACGGGUGAGUAACACGAGAGUAACCUGCCCAUGACUUUGGGAUAACUUCAGGAAACUGGGGCUAAUACCGGAUAGGAGCUCCUGCUGCAUGGUGGGGGUUGGAAAGUUUCGGCGGUUGGGGAUGGACUCGCGGCUUAUCAGCUUGUUGGUGGGGUAGUGGCUUACCAAGGCUUUGACGGGUAGCCGGCCUGAGAGGGUGACCGGCCACAUUGGGACUGAGAUACGGCCCAGACUCCUACGGGAGGCAGCAGUGGGGAAUAUUGCACAAUGGGCGGAAGCCUGAUGCAGCAACGCCGCGUGCGGGAUGACGGCCUUCGGGUUGUAAACCGCUUUCGCCUGUGACGAAGCGUGAGUGACGGUAAUGGGUGAAGAAGCACCGGCUAACUACGUG